RNAcentral lists this ribosomal RNA (747 nucleotides) under uncultured bacterium. Its description in RNAcentral is "bacterial SSU rRNA". It matches the Rfam family "Bacterial small subunit ribosomal RNA", at positions 90 to 822 of the family's 1533-position model. The record is from RNAcentral.
GACGAGUGGCGAACUGGUGAGUAACACGUGGGUAACCUGCCCUUGAAGUAGGGGAUAACACUUGGAAACAGGUGCUAAUACCGUAUAACAACCAAAACCACCUGGUUUUGGUUUAAAAGAUGGCUUCGGCUAUCACUUUAGGAUGGACCCGCGGCGUAUUAGCUUGUUGGUAAGGUAACGGCCUACCAAGGCAAUGAUACGUAGCCGACCUGAGAGGGUAAUCGGCCACAUUGGGACUGAGACACGGCCCAAACUCCUACGGGAGGCAGCAGUAGGGAAUCUUCCACAAUGGACGAAAGUCUGAUGGAGCAACGCCGCGUGAGUGAUGAAGGGUUUCGGCUCGUAAAACUCUGUUGUUGGAGAAGAACAGGUGUGAGAGUAACUGUUCACAUCUUGACGGUAUCCAACCAGAAAGCCACGGCUAACUACGUGCCAGCAGCCGCGGUAAUACGUAGGUGGCAAGCGUUGUCCGGAUUUAUUGGGCGUAAAGCGAGCGCAGGCGGUUUCUUAGGUCUGAUGUGAAAGCCUUCGGCUUAACCGGAGAAGUGCAUCGGAAACCAGGAGACUUGAGUGCAGAAGAGGACAGUGGAACUCCAUGUGUAGCGGUGAAAUGCGUAGAUAUAUGGAAGAACACCAGUGGCGAAGGCGGCUGUCUGGUCUGUAACUGACGCUGAGGCUCGAAAGCAUGGGUAGCGAACAGGAUUAGAUACCCUGGUAGUCCAUGCCGUAAACGAUGAGUGCUAAGUG